RNAcentral lists this ribosomal RNA (194 nucleotides) under uncultured bacterium. RNAcentral describes it as "partial 16S ribosomal RNA". It matches the Rfam family "Bacterial small subunit ribosomal RNA", at positions 339 to 525 of the family's 1533-position model. The record is from RNAcentral.
CUACGGGAGGCAGCAGUAGGGAAUCUUCCACAAUGGGCGAAAGCCUGAUGGAGCAACGCCGCGUGUGUGAUGAAGGGUCUCGGCUCGUAAAACACUGUUGUAAGAGAAGAAUGACAUUGAGAGUAACUGUUCAAUGUGUGACGGUAUCUUACCAGAAAGGAACGGCUAAAUACGUGCCAGCAGCCGCGGUAAUA